ACCGUACUCCUACGGGAGGCAGCAGUGGGGGAUUUUGGACAAUGGGGGCAACCCUGAUCCAGCAAUGCCGCGUGAGUGAAGAAGGCCUUCGGGUUGUAAAGCCCUUUUGUACGGGAAGAAAUCCUGUCGGUUAAUACCCGGCGGGGGUGACGGUACCGUAAGAAUAAGCACCGGCUAACUUCGUGCCAGCAGCCGCGGUAAUACGAAGGGUGCAAGCGUUAAUCGGAAUUACUGGGCGUAAAGCGUGCGUAGGCGGUUGGCUAAGUCAGAUGUGAAAGCCCUGGGCUCAACCUGGGAAUGGCAUUUGAAACUGGCCGGCUAGAGUGUGAUAGAGGAUGGCGGAAUGCCCGGUGUAGCGGUAAAAUGCGUAGAGAUCGGGAGGAACAUCCGUGGCGAAGGCGGCCAUCUGGAUCAACACUGACGCUGAGGCACGAAAGCGUGGGGAGCAAACAGGAUUAGAAACCCAAGUAGUCCUUGAC
RNAcentral lists this ribosomal RNA (479 nucleotides) under uncultured bacterium. RNAcentral's name for it is "bacterial SSU rRNA". It matches the Rfam family "Bacterial small subunit ribosomal RNA", at positions 330 to 801 of the family's 1533-position model. The record is from RNAcentral.